GAUGAACGCUGGCGGCGUGCCUAAUACAUGCAAGUCGAGCGAACGGACGAGAAGCUUGCUUUUCUGAUGUUAGCGGCGGACGGGUGAGUAACACGUGGAUAACCUACCUAUAAGACUGGGAUAACUUCGGGAAACCGGAGCUAAUACCGGAUAAUAUUUUGAACCGCAUGGUUCAAAAGUGAAAGACGGUCUUGCUGUCACUUAUAGAUGGAUCCGCGCUGCAUUAGCUAGUUGGUAAGGUAACGGCUUACCAAGGCAACGAUGCAUAGCCGACCUGAGAGGUGGAGCGCCAACAGGGGAACUGAACACGGUUCCAGCCCCUGCGGGGAGGAGCAGUGAGGGAUUCUCCCGAAAGGGGCGAAAGCCGGCCGGAGCAACGCCGGGGGAGUGAUAAAGGUUUUGGGAGCGAAAAACUGUGUUAUUAGGAAAAAAAAUAGGGGUAAGUAACUGUGCACAUCUGGAGGGGACCAAAUAAAAAAGCCAGGGCAAACUACGGG
This 497-nucleotide ribosomal RNA is filed under the name uncultured bacterium. RNAcentral's name for it is "partial 16S ribosomal RNA". It matches the Rfam family "Bacterial small subunit ribosomal RNA", at positions 28 to 507 of the family's 1533-position model. The record is from RNAcentral.